This 28-nucleotide non-coding RNA is filed under the name Mus musculus (house mouse). RNAcentral also lists the same sequence under 1 other name. The record is from RNAcentral. Lineage: Eukaryota; Metazoa; Chordata; Mammalia; Rodentia; Muridae.
UAUAAUAGCCAGAAGCUGGAAAGAACCC